AUGGCAAUAGCACGGACGACCACCAUCAUCUUCUCUGCCAUAAUCGUCAUGCUCUUUUCCUUAGCCACCACUGCUCAGACCAACGAAGACGUUGGUGGCAAGCCUGAGAAGACCCAUUUCCUUGUUGAAGCGUGCAAAAACGCUUCAAUCAACUCAUCUGACGAUCACAUCACAGAAGAAUUCUGCGUCUCGACUCUCCGACAGGACAAGCAGAGUGAUGAGGCAAAGGACCUUCGUGACCUGGCCCUUGUUGGUGUAGACAUCCUCAAGGGACAUAUCAUUGCCGCAAGUGGCAAAGUCAAACAACUUAUGCACAGUGUCAAGAAUGGCACAUCAACAGCACGCCGCCUCAGUUUGUGCGACCUGGACUAUGACGCCGCGGUGACCGUCCUCAAUGUUUGCAACACCAUGCUCAAGGACUACCGUGGUCCCAAAGGCGGUGAAAAGGAUGGACCCCUAUCCUUUUAUUUACCCGACUGUGUGGGUAAUGCAUGCGCCUUUUUCGGCUACUGUGGGCAUGAGCUUGUUGACAUGCCUGGGUGGGAGGCGUUGUACAAAGAAAACAUUGAGCUCGACAAGCUGGGCAACCUCAAUGUUGCCUUGAUGACACCAUAUUGGGAUUUCACCCAAAAUUAG
This 636-nucleotide ribosomal RNA is filed under the name Triticum aestivum (bread wheat). RNAcentral's name for it is "partial small subunit ribosomal RNA". The record is from RNAcentral. Lineage: Eukaryota; Viridiplantae; Streptophyta; Magnoliopsida; Poales; Poaceae.